Molecule: transfer RNA, 68 nt
Filed under: Marmota monax (woodchuck)
Lineage: Eukaryota; Metazoa; Chordata; Mammalia; Rodentia; Sciuridae
Description: tRNA.Ala
Source: RNAcentral
GGAUUGUGGCUCAGUGGUAGAGUACUCGCCUGGCACGUACGAGGCCCUGGGUUCAAUCCUCAUCACCA